RNAcentral lists this ribosomal RNA (502 nucleotides) under uncultured bacterium. RNAcentral's name for it is "bacterial SSU rRNA". It matches the Rfam family "Bacterial small subunit ribosomal RNA", at positions 28 to 526 of the family's 1533-position model. The record is from RNAcentral.
GACGAACGCUGGCGGCGCGCCUAACACAUGCAAGUCGAACGGAGCGUACUGUGUGAAGCCCUUCGGGGUGGAACUUUGUAUUGCUUAGUGGCGAACGGGUGAGUAACACGUGAGCAACCUGCCCUAGAGUGGGGGACAACAUUUGGAAACGAAUGCUAAUACCGCAUAAGACCACGGUGUCACAUGACACAGCGGCCAAAGGAUUUAUUCGCUUUAGGAUGGGCUCGCGUCUGAUUAGCUAGAUGGUGGGGUAACGGCUCACCAUGGCGACGAUCAGUAGCCGGACUGAGAGGUCGAUCGGCCACAUUGGGACUGAGAUACGGCCCAGACUCCUACGGGAGGCAGCAGUGGGGAAUAUUGGGCAAUGGGCGAAAGCCUGACCCAGCGACGCCGCGUGGAGGAAGAAGGUUUUCGGAUUGUAAACUCCUGUCUUCGGGGAAGAUAAUGACGGUACCCGAGGAGGAAGCCACGGCUAACUACGUGCCAGCAGCCGCCGUAAGAC